GUCUUUGUAGUAUAUAAAAUACUUUGGUCUUGUAAACCAAAAAAGGAGAACAAUCGCCCUCCCCAAGACU
Molecule: transfer RNA, 70 nt
Filed under: Suricata suricatta (meerkat)
Lineage: Eukaryota; Metazoa; Chordata; Mammalia; Carnivora; Herpestidae
Description: tRNA-Thr
Source: RNAcentral